GGGGGCGUAAUGGCUUCGACGGGGAGCACGAGUUUAAGUAAGCGAGUAGCAAGGCGGAACUGCUUUAAAAGUCGCAUUUUUCAAUUAAAUGGAAACACAAAUUAUGGAGAUAAUCCAAAAAACAGCAGAAGCAGCGUAAUUAAUGGUAGCUUUGGAAGAAAUGUCAAAGUUGUCGAAAUGGCUGCAGUUGCUUAAUUAGCCUUAAUAUUAGGCGACAUCUUAUUUUAGGUUACCGCGACUAACUUAAGGUGACUAACUAGCGGUGAACGUGAAUCAUUGAUUUCCUCGGCUUUGAUCAUGAAUUAGAGGAUACUGUAUUGUUGAGGUUUCCGUUGGACUCUCGAUGCAGGAAAUUUAAUCAUCGGAUACACUCGUAGAAAGCUUAGGUAAAUGCUUUUCGGACAGGGGUUCGACUCCCCUCGCCUCCACCA
This 431-nucleotide transfer-messenger RNA is filed under the name human gut metagenome. It matches the Rfam family "transfer-messenger RNA". From Rfam's summary of the family: Bacterial tmRNA, also known as 10Sa RNA or SsrA, is named for its dual tRNA and mRNA-like properties. Its role is to liberate the mRNA from a stalled ribosome. The record is from RNAcentral.